AUAUACUUGUGUUCCUGAUAUUGUUACCUGUGAUAUGUAUCGCAGAUGGGGAUGAAACAUCAGAUGGUGACUGGAAUGUAGACCAGGAGGCGCAGAUUGCAGAGCUGCGCCAGCUGAUGCGCCAGGGGAGACUUCAUAAGAUUCAUACAACAACUGAGCCCCCAGCAUCAAGAUCAUGGGCUAAACGUAAAUCUCGCCCAUCUGCCAGCUUGCAGGCUUCAGCCCCACCUCCGU
Pseudophryne corroboree (corroboree frog) is the source of this 234-nucleotide long non-coding RNA. RefSeq lists it as uncharacterized. Lineage: Eukaryota; Metazoa; Chordata; Amphibia; Anura; Myobatrachidae. The record is from RefSeq and is a predicted model, not a curated record. The transcript has 3 exons.